Molecule: long non-coding RNA, 1111 nt
Organism: Spinacia oleracea (spinach)
Lineage: Eukaryota; Viridiplantae; Streptophyta; Magnoliopsida; Caryophyllales; Amaranthaceae
Exons: 6
Source: RefSeq, a predicted model, not a curated record
CUUCUCCUUCCUUCACGCCUCUUCUCCUCACGAAACAAGAGCAAUUAAAUCUCAGAAAAUGGAAAACCCCAAAACUUUCGAAUCUACACAAAUCAAAUCUCAGAAAUCAAAAUCACAAAGAGAGAAAUAUCUCAGAAAACCUUCGAAUCUCACUCGAUCUCCAAAGUCACCUUCUUUGUUUUCCCCAAAUUUGAUCGAAACGACGAACAAGAGGAAUCCCUAGGAUUUGUUCGAGAAAUUUUAUUUAUUUGUGCGAUUGAUGAUACUUACGAAUACAGGUGGGGAUUCGACGGUGCAGGGUUCGAGGACGACUGACGGCAAGGUGGAGUCUGGAUCAGAAAGAAGGGGGACUCAACAAAAAAAUCUGAUGUUACUGAAGAUGACUGGGAAGUUGUUGAGCUCAACGCUCAGAGUGCUGAGGCUACUAUCUUGAAUCAGAAGCUGAAAAGUGGCGCAGAUUUUGAUUAACCCAACUUCUAGGUAUCAUUUCAAUCUCUUAAAGACAGCUCUUAUCCCUUUGGCGGAGUUCAGACAACCCUAAGUUAUGAAGAAGUACGAGGUUCUGCCUGACAUUGAAGUUCUCAUGGUAGCUCCUGAGGCUGGUAUAUCUUUUUUGUUCAAUAUUUUCUGUUAGCCAAGUUUUGCCAGCCACAUGUCUUCACUUCUCUGCAUUUGAAAUAUUACCUAUACUGCUAACACCAUGGAAGAGUAGGCAAGACCCCCAUUUUGCCCAAAUUCCGACUUUUAUAUAGUAAUUGUGAGUGCAGGUAACCCAUAGUUUAUCCCGUUUAAAUCAAAGGGCAUACAGAAUUUGUAGCUUUAUCAAAACUGUAAUUGAUUUACUCUUGAAUUAGUCAUGUUUAGGGAUCUUUACUUGAUAUGACUUGAGAUACUUAGGGUUGACUGUGUAACUUGAAGCUGGCCAGCAUCAACAAGAACUUAUAUCUUGAGAAAGAAUGAAGCGGCUCUUUCCCUAAUUUGUCUCCACUUUGAAUAUCUCUAGCUUUAUUGGCUCGCUCGUUCAACGGUUUUGCAGACCACAACUCUCCUGUGCGGAGGAGCUUAAGAAGGGUUCAUUCGUAUAUACUUCAUAGGAUUUUUUUUCUUUAGA